AGCGUGGAGACAGGUGGUGCAUGGCUGUCGUCAGCUCGUGUCGUGAGAUAUUGGGUUAAGUCCCGCAACGAGCGCAACCCUCACCCCUUGUUGCCAUCAGGUCAUGCUGGGCACUCUAGGGGAACUGCCCCGGUCAACGGGGAGGAAGGCGGGGAUGACGUCAAGUCAUCAUGCCCCUUACGCCCUGGGCUACACACGUGCUACAAUGGCCGGUACAAAGGGAUGCAACGCCGUGAGGCAGAGCCAAACCCAAAAAGCCGGUCUAAGUUCAGAUUGGAGUCUGCAACUCGACUCCAUGAAGGAGGAAUCGCUAGUAAUCGCGUAUCAGCACGACGCGGUGAAUACGUUCCCGGGCCUUGUACACACCGCCCGUCACACCACGAAAGCCUGCUGUACUCGAAGUCGCUGAG
RNAcentral lists this ribosomal RNA (410 nucleotides) under uncultured Methylomirabilota bacterium. Its description in RNAcentral is "bacterial SSU rRNA". It matches the Rfam family "Bacterial small subunit ribosomal RNA", at positions 1025 to 1434 of the family's 1533-position model. Lineage: Bacteria; Methylomirabilota (SeqCode). The record is from RNAcentral.